AUUUAACUGACAAGUCCUAAAUAGGAUGAAAUGGACAUCCUGAAU
Molecule: non-coding RNA, 45 nt
Filed under: Trichobilharzia regenti
Lineage: Eukaryota; Metazoa; Platyhelminthes; Trematoda; Strigeidida; Schistosomatidae
Source: RNAcentral